AGGCACGGUGGCUUACACCUGUAAUCCCAGCACUUUAGGAGGCUGAGGCAUGUGGAUCUCUUGAGCUCAGGAGUUCGAGACUAGCCUGAACAACUUAGGGAGACUUCUUCUCUAAAAAAAAAAAAAUUAACUAGCCAGGUGUGGUGGUGCACACGUGUAGUUCCAUCUACUUGGGAGGCUGAGGAGGGAGGAUCCCUUGAGCCUCGGGGAUGGAGUGAACCAAGAUUGCACCACUGCACUCCAGCCUGGGUGACAGAGUGAGACACUGUCCAAAAAAAAAAAAAAAAAGAAAGAAAGAAAGAAAGAAAAAGAAAGAAGAAAGGAAAAAAUAAAAGAGGAACAGAGAGUGUGGUGCCCAGUGCUUCUGGGUCCAGUGGAGUAGGAAGGUCCCUGACUGCUGAAGGAGCUCACAGUGAUGUUUGUUGAGCGUUUCUAUGUGCAGAGCACUGGACCAGGCACAACCUGUGCAAUUCACCUAACCCCCUUCCUAGGAAGGGCCUUGUGACAGAGGCUCUGGGACUUUUCACAUCUUACACAUGAAGAAACUGAACGGCACAGAGGUUCUGGUGAGUCUCACCCCUGGCUGCACUUUAUUUUUAUUUAUUUUAUUUUAGAGAUGGGGUCUUGCUCUGUCACCCAGGCUGGAGUGCAGUGGCACAAUCAUAGCUCACCGUUAACCUCCAACUCCUGGGCUCAAGUGACCCUCUCACCUCAGCCUCCCGAGUAGCUGGGACCACAGGUGUGUGCCACCAGGCCCAGCUAAUUUUUGUAUUUUUUUUGUAGAGAUGGGUCCUUACUAUGUUGCCCAGGCUUGUCUCAAACUCCUAGCCUCAAGCAGUCCUCCCUCCUGGGCCACCUAAAGUGCUGGGAUGACAGGCAUGGGCCACCACACCAGGUCCCUGACGGCGCUUUAGAAUCCCCUGGUGUGUUUGUCAGCACAGGGUACAUUCUGCAACCAUAACAAAUAAGCCCUAGCCCUUGGGGGCUUUACUCUAAGAUUUUAUCACUUGCUCACAAAAAUAAAACCGGCUCACAUCAGACAACCGUGGAAUACUGUGAAAUAUACUGGGUCUUUGUCCCCUGUUCUGGGCAUAGAACACCUAAAACCCUUGGAAUUUCCAGAGUCAUGGGAUUGUCUUUUGUGAUUCAUACGUGCCCUUUUGAUCACAGCUGAGUUUAUGCUAAUGAGAUAAAUUAGGGUAGGGCCCCCAAAUAACCUCAGAUUGGGGAGGGUUUGCAGUCACCAGAAAGACCAAAGGACUCCAGGGCUGGAACUUUCAACACCUCCUGCUAACCUCCAGGAAGGAGGGACGUGGUGACUAGAGAUUAACCUCUUUGAAAACUUUUUUUUGGCGUGAGCCACUGCCCUCAGCACUAAAAAACCUCUUGAACAACUAGAUCUGAUGAGCUUCCAGGAUGCUGAACAGGUGGAGAUGCUGGGCAGGUGGCAUGUUCAGAAAGGGGAUGGAAGCUCCGUCCCAGCCCCACCCCAGCACACCCUGCCCUGUGCAUCUCUUCCAUGUGCCUGUUCCUGAGUUUGUGUCCUUUCUAAUAAAUCGGUGAAGUGUUUCCAAGUUCUGUGAGCUGCUCUAGCAAAUAACGGACCGUUAGGAGAGUGUCGUGAGAACCCCCAACUGACAGGCAAUGGGUUAGAAGUGCUGGAGGCCUGAGCUUGGACUUGGGAUUGACAUCCGAACUGGAGGCAGUCUGUGGGACUGGGCGCUUAACCUGUGGGGUCUGUGCCAACACCAGGUCGACAGAGGCAGCAUUGGAUUACAUUGCAGGACUGCCCAGCUGGUAUUUGGAGAACUGCUUGGUGUGGAAAAAAACACCCACAUCUGGUGUCAGAAGUAGAAAAACACAGUGUGUUUUCCCCCAGUUGGUGUCAGAAUUGUGAAAGGAAAAUAAAAUCUGGAGACCCCAAACCUGCUAUGCCAAAGGGAAGGGCUAAGCUGGGAAGCCAAGUGACACAAAUCCUGCCUUUCCUUUUGUUCCUAAACACAGAGCAACAAGAUAAGAGGCCACCCGUGAAGAGAGGCCACCCUGACAAUGUCAAUUAACAGCUUAUCUUCACAGGCAUGGAACAAGAGGAGACUAGAAAUGGUUCCCACUGGCCGGGCGCAGUGGCUCACGCCUGUAAUCCCAGCACUUUGGGAGGCUGAGGCAGGCAGAUCACCUGAGGUUGGAGUUCGAAACCAGCCUGACUAACAUGGAGAAACCCCAUCUCUACUAAAAGUACAAAAUUAGCCAGGCGUGGUGGCACAUGCCUGUAAUCCCAGCUACUCAGGAGGCUGAGGCAGAAGAAUCGCUUGAACCCGGGAGGCAGAGGUUGCGGUGAGUCGAGAUUGGAAAGAAAGAGAGAGAGAGAGAGGGAGGGAGGAGGGGAGGAAGGGAAGGGAAGGAAAGAAAGGAAAGAAGGAAGGAAGGAAGGAAAGAAAGAAAAGAUACCUGCCAUCACCACCCACCUCAAUGCAUAUUUGACUUCUUUCUCAUAAAAAUGUAGUUUUAUUGAGCUCGAGAAGAAUACAUAAUGGACUGUUCCUCUGCCUCCUUUUCACAUGCAACGUGUGGAUUCAGUAGGUUUAACCAAGACCUCAAAACAAUGUGACUGUACCCUCCCUCUUUUUUUGUUUUGUUUUGUUUCGUUUUGUUUCGUUUCAUUUUGUUUCUGAGAUGGUGGCUCUGUGGGCCAGGCUGGAGGGCCAUGGCAUGAUCUUGGCUCACUGCAAGCUCCACCUCCCAGGUUCAAGCUAUUCUCCUGCCUCAGCCUCCUGAGGAGCUGGGACUACAGGUGCCCACCACCACACCCAGCUAAUUUUUGUAUUUUUAGUAGAAAUGGGGCUUCACCAUGUUGGCCAGGCUGGUGUCAAACUCCCAACCUCAAAUGAUCUGCCCACCUUGGCCUCCCAAAGUGUUGGGAUUACAGACAUGAGCCACCGUGCCCAGCCCUGCCCUUUUUCUUUUUAAUUUUUUUAAUUUUUUUUUUGUAGAGACAGGGUUUUGUUAUGUUGCCCAGGUCGGUCUUGAACUCCUGGCCUCAAGCAGUCCUCCCACCUCAGCCUUCCAAAGUGUUGGAAUUACAGGCGUGAGCCACCACACCCAGCCUUAUAGCUCACAUUUUGAUGAAAAGAGCCACAUUCCACCUCAUUUUAAAGCCAGAGCCCCACCCCAAAGUGAACAUGGAAUGUAUGUUACAUGCAUGUUUACCCAUCGCACGUGCACUCAACCCCCAUUAUGAACAAAUAUAGCUUUUCCUCCAAACCUGCUGAAUACGUGUGACUCUGCUGUGUGAUACGGGCCCUGUGAGUCAUCAACCUCACCUGCCCUUUCCCUCUUGGAAGACAGCAAACCUUCAGUCCACACCGGAGAUGACCUCUCCCUGAUUUGCAAGCUGAAAUCACCAGUCCAGCUCUUUCUACUAUCUGGCCAUCCUGGUGGCCUUUUGGACGACAGGCUGCUAGCCUCAGAGCUGACUCCCAAGGGCAAAAUGACGCAGGAAUAACAGAAAGUGCCUCUGAGAACUCUGGUCACCAACAAGGUGGUCCACAGCAGGGAGGACAGAACCAAGCGACUGCCAAAGCCAGGCCGUGGAGUGUGACGGAAGGGUUUCAUUUUGUAGCUCCAUGUUUUCUGCUUCCUGGGGCGCCUUUAGGAAAAUGGAUUCUGGCAGUAGCUGAUUUAGGAUCAGUGUCUUCAGUUUUAAAUGCUGCAGGGUGGAAGAGUGUGUUUGGGUUGACACAGCACCCGCAGCUCACCAUGGGACAAUCACGGGGAGCUGUCCCUGAUUCAGACACGCAGGAGGUGACUCCCAAGGGGACAGCUGGACUGCUGGACUGGGUAAAAGUCACUGUAGGGUCUGUGUACCCUGAGAAAGGUCCCUGUUCCUUUCCUCGUCUACAUGCCAAGUCAAAUGUCUCAGACGGAGCAGCUCAUCAGAUUUGAACACAAGCCAUUUGAUGUUGGCUUUGUGAUGAACAGAAUGUGUUUCUACUGGACAUGCCCAUUACCCAGGUCAUGGAAAACGCUGUGUGUAAGGGUGCUUGUUUGUUUGUUUUGUUUUGUUUUGUUUUGUUUUGUUUGAGACAGAGUCUCUCUCUGUUGCCCAGGCUAGAGUGCAGUGGCAUGAUCUCAGCUCACUGCAACCUCUGCCUCCCGGGUUCUAGCGAUUCUCCUGCCUCAGCCUCCUGAGUAGCUGGGACUACAGGCACACACCACCAUGCCCAGCUAAUUUUUGUAUUUGUAGUAGAGAUAGGGUUUAAUCAUAUUGCCCAGGCUGGUCUCAAACUCCUAGACUCAGGCAAUCCUCUCACUAUGGCCUCCCAAAGUGCUGGGAUUACAGGCAUGAGCCAUCACACCCAGUCUACCUGGGACUUUGGACUAGAAAAUUUCCAUUGGAGGGGCAUUUACUAACUUGCUGUUAGACAUUAAUUGAAGCUACCUCAUGACUGAAGGACAUAAAAUAAUCUUGAAACCUGAAAUACCUACAAUACCUUGGGUGACAUCACAGAAACCCUCUAAUGGAGAUGACAGCGCCAAGAAAAGUUCCGUAACAACACGAAAAUGGUUCAUAUAGGAUGGUGAACCAUCCUAUAUGAAGGCAAGGAUGGGGACUCCUUGCUGGGGAAGGCAAGGAGGAGACUCACAAGCAGGGAGAAUCCCCUGGGACUGACUCUGGAACUGUGUGAGGAGCUGCUGGAUGUUUUUUUUAACUUUUAUUUUAGGUUCAGGGAUACAUGUGAAGGUUUGUUACAUAGAUAAACUCAUGUCGCAGGGGUUUGUUGUACAGAUUUUUUUUUUUUUUGAGACAGAGUCUCGUUCUAUCCCCCAGGCCAGAGUUCAGUGGCAUGAUCUUGGUUCACUGCAACCUCUGCCUCCUAGGUUCAAGUGAUUCUCCUGCCUCAGCCUCCCAGGUAGCUGGAAUUACAGGCACCUGUCACCGCGCCCAGCUAAUUUUUGUAUUUUUAGUAGAGAUGGGGUCUUGUCAUGUUGGCCAGACUGGUCUUGAACUCCUGACCUCAGGUGAUCCUCCCACCUCCGCCUCUCAAAGUGCUGGGAUUACAGGCUUGAGCCACCACAUCCGGCCUGUUGUACAGAUUAUUUUAUCACCCAGGU
This 5112-nucleotide long non-coding RNA is filed under the name Homo sapiens (human). RNAcentral's name for it is "HSALNT0177444". The record is from RNAcentral. Lineage: Eukaryota; Metazoa; Chordata; Mammalia; Primates; Hominidae.